RNAcentral lists this ribosomal RNA (263 nucleotides) under uncultured Stenotrophomonas sp. Its description in RNAcentral is "partial 16S ribosomal RNA". It matches the Rfam family "Bacterial small subunit ribosomal RNA", at positions 91 to 354 of the family's 1533-position model. The record is from RNAcentral. Lineage: Bacteria; Pseudomonadati; Pseudomonadota; Gammaproteobacteria; Lysobacterales; Lysobacteraceae.
CGGAGUGGCGGACGGGUGAGGAAUACAUCGGAAUCUACUCUGUCGUGGGGGAGUAACGUAGGGAAACUUACGCUAAUACCGCAUACGACCUACGGGUGAAAGCAGGGGAUCUUCGGACCUUGCGCGAUUGAAUGAGCCGAUGUCGGAUUAGCUAGUUGGCGGGGUAAAGGCCCACCAAGGCGACGAUCCGUAGCUGGUCUGAGAGGAUGAUCAGCCACACUGGAACUGAGACACGGUCCAGACUCCUACGGGAGGCAGCAGGG